RNAcentral lists this ribosomal RNA (723 nucleotides) under Triticum aestivum (bread wheat). Its description in RNAcentral is "partial small subunit ribosomal RNA". The record is from RNAcentral. Lineage: Eukaryota; Viridiplantae; Streptophyta; Magnoliopsida; Poales; Poaceae.
AUGAACAAGGCUGGCCGCCUGGCCUUCGUCAAAGCUGUCCUGAGCGUGAUCCCCAUCCACCAGUUCCUUGUGCUCGCUGCCAAAAUAGACCCUCAAACUACUAGAAAAAAUCAAGAGAAUUCCUCUGGGCAGGCCGCGCUGAGGCCAAUGGCGGCAACUGCCAUGUUAACUGGUGGCGCGUCUGUUGGCCAAUCCCGCUUGGCGGCCUUGGCGUGCAUGACCUCGAGUACACUGGACUCGCCCUGCGCAUGCGCUGGCUAUGGCUCAGCCACGCCGGCGACGGGAGGGCCUGGAACGGCCUUGACCUGCAGUUCUCCCGCGAGGAACGCGCGUUCUUCUUCGCGUCCACAACAACGACGUUCGGGAAUGGCCUGCGCGCCCUCUUUUGGGAAGACCGAUGGAUUAACGGCCGCGCCGCCAGUGAGGUCGCGGCUCUCCUCUACGCUUGCAUCCCCAAACGACGCCGCAAGUCUAGAACAGUCGCCGACGGCCUACAUGAAAACCAAUGGGCUACCGACAUCCAUGGCACGAUUGGCAUCCCGGAGAUCGUCGAAUACCUCUGCCUUUGGCACCUUGAUCAGCCUAUGCUGGAAGUGGACUGCGAAUGGAAUGUACUCUGCCAAGUCCGCAUACCUCUCCACCUUCCACGACUCCAUCCAUUGCCAGGCUUGGAGGCUAGCUUGGAAGUGUUGGGCGUCGCCACGGGUGCGUUUCUUCCACUAG